Molecule: ribosomal RNA, 413 nt
Filed under: uncultured bacterium
Lineage: Bacteria
Description: bacterial SSU rRNA
Rfam family: Bacterial small subunit ribosomal RNA
Source: RNAcentral
GUGUCAGCCGCCGCGGUAAUACGGAGGGUGCGAGCGUUAAUCGGAAUUACUGGGCGUAAAGGGCGCGUAGGCGGUCGCGCAAGUCGGGUGUGAAAGCCCCGGGCUCAACCUGGGAAUUGCAUUCGAUACUGCGUAACUAGAGUCUGGUAGAGGGAAGCGGAAUUCCGCAUGUAGCGGUGAAAUGCGUAGAUAUGCGGAGGAACACCAGUGGCGAAGGCGGCUUCCUGGACCAAGACUGACGCUGAGGCGCGAAAGCGUGGGGAGCAAACAGGAUUAGAUACCCUGGUAGUCCACGCCCUAAACGAUGAGGACUAGACGUUGGGGGGAUAAAACCCUUUAGUGUCACAGCUAACGCGUGAAGUCCUCCGCCCGGGGAGUACGGCCGCAAGGUUGAAAUUCAAAGGAAUUGGCGG